AUCAUCCUUUCUGGGAGUGCUAGCUUGUGAUGAAGGCUCUGGAUGGCUGAUAGAGACUCCUUUCUUUAGAUCAAAUGGAUAUCUCCAGAUUAGAAGAUGGAUAUUUUCAAGGAGGAGAUGGUGUGGAAGAAGAAGAACAAAACUUCUUUUAUUUUUCUCUCUCACAAAACUGGAACUAGAAAAUCCUAGAAGUCCCACCCU
Molecule: long non-coding RNA, 201 nt
Filed under: Elaeis guineensis (African oil palm)
Lineage: Eukaryota; Viridiplantae; Streptophyta; Magnoliopsida; Arecales; Arecaceae
Description: long non-coding RNA (EGUI_LNC003173)
Source: RNAcentral